UGAGGAAAAUGGUCUUGCUCUCUCUAUAUUUUUUCCUCCCCCCCACCCCAGUAUUUCCAGCAGCAGUGGAAAUGCAGAGUAAUAGAAAGUGCCAGCGAGAUCAAAACUGAUGCAUGCCUUUCCUCCCCCUCUGAAAUUAAAGGAGUUUUACCUUUCUAUGAUGAUUUAAUUUGGGUCCCUGUGAUUUGAGAAACUAAGCAUUUUGGCAAAUAUUUUUUCAUUAUUAAUGGCCAUGUUGCAGAAGAACUCUUUUAUUUCCUUACAUUUGGAAGCACCAAAAAUUAUAGAUCUGGUUGUUUCUCAGAAAACUGUGAAAAGAGUGUGGAUAUAAAGCCUAAUUUUGUAGUGACUUAGAAGGAAUCAAGUUAUUACACUGCUGCAGAUGCUGUUUGAUCCAUUAGUGUUUUCAGAAAUUUGAGAUCAAGGGAAAGUAUUUUUCUUUAACUUGGACAGAAAUUCACCCCUAAAGAAGGGGCAUGCAGGAGGCCAGGGCAGGUCUCUGCUAAUGGGGAUGAUUUUGACUUGGCAAACUAACGCUGCCUUCCUUAUUCCCAGGUGUGGUUUGGGCAACAAGAUGAGCCAGGGAUAAUCCUUGCAAGAGAUUGUGCCUGUGGCCACCCCUGUUUCAGAGAGCACAAGAACUCAGCAAUGUGAAUGUGAGAUAUUCCACGCCUGUUUGCCUCGGUGCCAGAGAACAAUCUCAGGCUCAUUUAAUGGACUCAAAUAAUUGUAGGCCCUGUGUCCCAACAAAGUGCUGAGCAAAUGGUGGAAUUUACCCAUUCUGGAUUUUUCAGCCCCAGCAAGGCAAUGAACAGCAGCAGCAUACCUGGUGAAUAUUUUACAAUGCAGGUCUUUGGAAGUACCUCUGGCUCUUGACUGCACCUACAGUGGUUGUAGUAAGGGACAGUAAAAACAACCUUAGUCAGGAAAAAGUACAGCAAAUGGGACUGGGGUUCAAUAUUGUAUUUAACUGGGAAGAUAAUUUUACUCUCCAGGCUGGACUGGGGUGAGAGAAACAUGGAUUGCUACCCGGCUGCAUUAUUGACUCUCAGGGUGACUUUGAGCCAAAUACUUCUGUUUUCAGAAGUAUAUGAAACCAUAUUAUUGGUUUGCUUAGGUGGAAAGGUAGGAUAGCCAGAAAACAGGUCUACUCUUCUGGAGCUCUGGGUAAUAAAAUUGUAUUUCCCAUACGGGUCUUGAUGCAAUGCCAGCUGGUCUAAUUAAACUGAUCUUGAAAAAUAUUUAACUUAAUGUUUGGAGCCUGAUCUGACAUUCCUUGCCUUGUCUGUCUUAAAUUUGUUGGAAAAAAAACCUGCAAAAAAUAAAAAC
Molecule: long non-coding RNA, 1329 nt
Filed under: Taeniopygia guttata (zebra finch)
Lineage: Eukaryota; Metazoa; Chordata; Aves; Passeriformes; Estrildidae
Description: lncRNA (ENSTGUG00000024677.1)
Source: RNAcentral